This 825-nucleotide ribosomal RNA is filed under the name Escherichia coli. Its description in RNAcentral is "partial 23S ribosomal RNA". It matches the Rfam family "Bacterial large subunit ribosomal RNA", at positions 418 to 1241 of the family's 2925-position model. Lineage: Bacteria; Pseudomonadati; Pseudomonadota; Gammaproteobacteria; Enterobacterales; Enterobacteriaceae. The record is from RNAcentral.
CGGGACACGUGGUAUCCUGUCUGAAUAUGGGGGGACCAUCCUCCAAGGCUAAAUACUCCUGACUGACCGAUAGUGAACCAGUACCGUGAGGGAAAGGCGAAAAGAACCCCGGCGAGGGGAGUGAAAAAGAACCUGAAACCGUGUACGUACAAGCAGUGGGAGCACAGAGCAAUCUGUGUGACUGCGUACCUUUUGUAUAAUGGGUCAGCGACUUAUAUUCUGUAGCAAGGUUAACCGAAUAGGGGAGCCGAAGGGAAACCGAGUCUUAACUGGGCGUUAAGUUGCAGGGUAUAGACCCGAAACCCGGUGAUCUAGCCAUGGGCAGGUUGAAGGUUGGGUAACACUAACUGGAGGACCGAACCGACUAAUGUUGAAAAAUUAGCGGAUGACUUGUGGCUGGGGGUGAAAGGCCAAUCAAACCGGGAGAUAGCUGGUUCUCCCCGAAAGCUAUUUAGGUAGCGCCUCGUGAAUUCAUCUCCGGGGGUAGAGCACUGUUUCGGCAAGGGGGUCAUCCCGACUUACCAACCCGAUGCAAACUGCGAAUACCGGAGAAUGUUAUCACGGGAGACACACGGCGGGUGCUAACGUCCGUCGUGAAGAGGGAAACAACCCAGACCGCCAGCUAAGGUCCCAAAGUCAUGGUUAAGUGGGAAACGAUGUGGGAAGGCCCAGACAGCCAGGAUGUUGGCUUAGAAGCAGCCAUCAUUUAAAGAAAGCGUAAUAGCUCACUGGUCGAGUCGGCCUGCGCGGAAGAUGUAACGGGGCUAAACCAUGCACCGAAGCUGCGGCAGCGACGCUUAUGCGUUGUUGGGUAGGGGAGCGUUC